This 73-nucleotide non-coding RNA is filed under the name Mycolicibacterium tusciae. RNAcentral describes it as "Mycobacterium tusciae Fluoride sequence". It matches the Rfam family "Fluoride riboswitch aptamer (crcB RNA motif)". The record is from RNAcentral. Lineage: Bacteria; Bacillati; Actinomycetota; Actinomycetes; Mycobacteriales; Mycobacteriaceae.
CUUCGAAGUGGUGAUGGAUCUCGCCCGAGCUCGUCGCUCGAACCGCCAAUUGGCUGAUAGUUCCUGCCGUCAU